GAUGAACGCUGGCGGCGUGCCUAACACAUGCAAGUCGAGCGAUCUUCUUCGGAAGAGAGCGGCGGACGGGUGAGUAACGCGUGGGUAACCUGCCCUGUACACACGGAUAACAUACCGAAAGGUAUGCUAAUACGAGAUAAUAUGCUCUUAUCGCAUGGUAGAAGUAUCAAAGCUCAGGCGGUACAGGAUGGACCCGCGUCUGAUUAGCUAGUUGGUAAGGUAAUGGCUUACCAAGGCGACGAUCAGUAGCCGACCUGAGAGGGUGAUCGGGCACAUUGGAACUGAGACACGGUCCAAACUCCUACGGGAGGCAGCAGUGGGGAAUAUUGCACAAUGGGCGAAAGCCUGAUGCAGCAACGCCGCGUGAGCGAUGAAGGCCUUCGGGUCGUAAAGCUCUGUCCUCAAGGAAGAUAAUGACGGUACUUGAGGAGGAAGCCCCGGCUAACUACGUGCCAGCCGCCGCGGUAA
Molecule: ribosomal RNA, 468 nt
Filed under: uncultured bacterium
Lineage: Bacteria
Description: partial 16S ribosomal RNA
Rfam family: Bacterial small subunit ribosomal RNA
Source: RNAcentral